Long non-coding RNA from Bactrocera oleae (olive fruit fly), 2354 nucleotides. RefSeq lists it as uncharacterized. NCBI's taxonomy places the organism in Eukaryota, Metazoa, Arthropoda, Insecta, Diptera, Tephritidae. The record is from RefSeq and is a predicted model, not a curated record.
UUAACUGAAAUAAAUAAUAAAUAAAUAUAUACAUGAAUUGUAGGACUGUGUAUUGAUGCGUUCUCGGGUUAUCCUCCUUUUUGGCAGAAAAGUAAGUUAAUUGUCAUACAAGUCAUCUAACGGUAGGUCUACGAAAUGAGCUGUUUCUUUCUGACCUAUUAUGUCAAUUAUUGCUAAUUAAUAUAAGAAAAAUUAUAAUACGAAUAAAUUAAAAUAUUUUUCUAUUAAAGACAGUAGGUGUAUAGUAUAUACUAUAAGCAAACGGUGCAUAUUUGACCUAAUCGUAGUAUUUAAAACGAGCAAAGACCAAAAGAGUAGCCGAGAACAUUUUAUAAAAACAUAUAAUCAAUACAAUCCCACAACGUACGACUUCCGACCUGCGAAAAUGCAACUGCCGACUUUUCAACCAUGCCUGUUAAACCAAUCAAUCCUGUUAAACAUGUGACACAUAAACCUCCAUAAAAAUAACAGUAUAAUUAACAUCAAGUCAAUGAACAACUAAACAAAAUGCGACGCGAACAAACCUCAAAAGAGUAGUUAAUGGUAAUAAUAGCUGAACUCUACUAACACUGGGCCCAAUGUGAUAGCCCUUGUAUUUUAUUCUGGGCCGUAAAAUAAUUUUGGUUUUUGAGCUUUUCAAAUAGUUUUUACUAAUUUAAGGAGGGAUAUAUAUUAGGGCUGUUAAAAUAAUUUGAAUAACAUGAAAACGGAUUAUUUGAAAAUCCGGUUUGUAAAAGUUUCUAUGAAUAUUGGCAUUGCGACUAUUCGAAUAGUUGCUCUGCUGCGAGUAUUUGAAUAAAUGAAAAUUGUUUGAAAUCCAAGUAGCCUUUGAUUUUUGCUUGUUUUAAAUAUGUGAAAAUGCUAAUUAUGCGCGUAUAUACUCCAAAUUUCCUAUAAACUUAUACAUAUAUAUAAUAAAUAAAUGUUCUAUAAACUUAUAUAGAAAAUGAAUGAACGCCUACUAUUCGAAUAGUUGACAACGAACGGUUAACCGGAUAGUCGAAAAUGAGUCGACGACUUACGACUAUCCAAUGCUGCAAACCGAAUAUUAUUAUUCGAAUAAUGCCCUAUCCGGUUAGUCGAAUACCAAGAGCGUUAAUAUAUAUGUAUGCUAUAUCUGUACGGUAUAAAUAUGCUGUAUCUACUAAGAUAUUAUUUACACGUGAUCUGAUGUUACGGUAUUAAAUAUAAACAAAAUAUCAUAAGCAAGAUCGCAAAACAAAUGAAAGGAUUUUAAUGACUAACUACAGAUGAAUGAUAUAAAGUCCGCAAAGAAUAUAACGUUUGUGAAAUUUUUGUGUUAUAAAUCUUUCCCACUAAAUUUCUUUCAUCCUUAAAGUAUUCAAAAUUAUUGCACUGUAAUAUUCAUAGCUACCAUCCAAACUGACCGAUCACAAUCAAGAUAAUCUUCACAGAGAUACUUUUCAGAUUUAGUUAUACGUAUAGUUGCUGUAAGAAAAGCAUCUGUGAAGGGUAUUAUAACUUCGGUGUAGCUGAAGUUUUCGUUUUUUCUUGCUUUUAAUAUCAUCAGUUUAUUUUAUUUUUUAAUAAAUCAAUCAAGCAUCAAUGAAGACAUUGAAACAAUACUGGUCGAAAUCCAUACCGCUUUAGCCUCGAUAAAUAUUUGAUAAAUUAUAUUAAGUCGGCAUGUUUUCCCGACUACAAUAUGCUAAUUAGUAUCAAAAAUUAAUAACAAUCUUUCCAUAUUUUGUGUAGGGUAAACUUUGUUUUAUUUGUGUAGGGUAUUAAAGCUUUGGUACAACCGAAAUUAACGUUUUUUUUUAUUGUUUAUGAUUUCUUUUUUGCAUUCACCUGGAAAUAUUUCGCAUGUACUUCUUUAUUUGUAACUACUUUGCUUUUUCUUGAAAUUGAAUUCGAAGCUAGAGUUGAGAAAAUAUUGCGUUAAAAUUAUUAAACUUAAGAAUUACGAAAAAUUAAAUCUUAAGUAGUCUGACUGCGUAAGAGUCACUAACUUCAAAUAAAAAUGUUGUUAAAUACAUAAAUAAAGUCUGCGCGUCUACAGCUAUCAAAAACUUUAUGGCAAGUUUUAAGUGUUCAUGCUAAUUGAGCGGGUUAGAUUAGUUAAAUGCUUUUAAUACGAACCUGUAUUAUAGCUUGAUGAUUUCGGUAAAUUAACAACAUCACGACGGAAAGAAGAAAGAUUUUGCGUAAAUCUAAAACUCGAACAAAUUAAUAACAACAUAUAUUAAAAUUAAAAUACAAAUCACACACUUCUCUUUAUUUUUGCUAGAAACGUUGCGUUCUAUCCCGACCAUAAGAUCAUCAAACCACUGUGCCAUUGUUUGUUGUUUAUCCAAUGGUUGCGAACGGAUUAUGUUAUCUUUCAAAGAUCU